Pecten maximus is the source of this 145-nucleotide long non-coding RNA. RefSeq lists it as uncharacterized. The transcript has 3 exons. NCBI's taxonomy places the organism in Eukaryota, Metazoa, Mollusca, Bivalvia, Pectinida, Pectinidae. The record is from RefSeq and is a predicted model, not a curated record.
AAAAAGGUAACCCUCACAUAAUGGUAACCCUCACAUAACGGUAACCCUCACAUAAUGGUAACCCUCACAUAAUGGUAACCCUCACAUAACGGUAACCCUCACAUAAUGGUAACCCUCACAUAAUGGUAACCCUCACAUAAAGGUA